Long non-coding RNA from Homo sapiens (human), 583 nucleotides. NCBI's taxonomy places the organism in Eukaryota, Metazoa, Chordata, Mammalia, Primates, Hominidae. The record is from Ensembl.
UAUCCCAGUCUGCUCAGUGGGAUAGCACCGGAAUGGAAGCAUUAGCUUUAAUGGGAAAGGCCUGUUUGCAGGCGAAGUAAAGUCAGUAACUCACACUUCAAACACCUGCAGGUUCAUUAGCAUCCUGACAACCCUCAGGUGGACCUCCACAGGAACAAAUCAUAUCCAUGUCAGGCGGCACCAAACCUAAAUCUGCUUCUGCCUCAGCAGACAGGACAUGUUGAGUUUGGCCAGUGAGUGCUGCAGGAUACUGGAGGGAGGGCAACAGAGAGGAAGGUCACCUACAUGUCUAUGUUCAGAAGCUGCCUUGAUGCCACAUGCGGGAGGCUGGAAACGCUGAAGGAUGACCACUGCUCAGCAGCAGUCUACCAGUGAUGGAUGAGAGUUGGUGCACAAAUACCCCAGCUCCCUUGCCUCUCAGUUUGGAUAAUCCUGAAAAGGUGUGUACUAUGCUAUUUCUGAGAUUAAGCCCUAGUUACCCAUAGUGGUAGCUAAAUAUAGUAGUUGGCUGUAUUCUCCAUCACUUCUUGAAUCCCCUGCCAGUGUUCUCUGCACCUCCUUAAUAAACCACUUGAAACAAAAA